Molecule: transfer RNA, 65 nt
Filed under: Asymmetron lucayanum
Lineage: Eukaryota; Metazoa; Chordata; Leptocardii; Amphioxiformes; Branchiostomatidae
Description: tRNA-Glu
Source: RNAcentral
AUUUUUGUAGUUAAUUUAUAACGUAAGCUUUUCAUGCUUAAAUUCUUGGUGUGCAAGCAAAAAUU